CGGACAGCUGCUGGAAGCAUUUAGUUGACUCCAUCCCGCUUCAGCGCAAGAUGAAAAUGUGGAAGGAGGCUGUCCAGUUACCAGUGCAGUACUGCGACAGAAAAGGAAAGAAUACCCACACACACUGACAGGGAGCGGGGAUUUUUACCCAGUGAAGAGGGUUGCCAAAACCCGAGUCAUCAAGGGUCAAAAAAUGAAGUAUGUGGAGUGGGAGCCAUGCAAAAUCUGUGGAAAGAAGUGGCCUUUGCAGUGGGUGCCGGAUAGUGAAACUUGCUAGGUUUUUGCGGCAAAUUAGCAGCUGUUCACAUGAUUUCAUUUCCAUUUGUUGCUGUAUUUCAUUUUGCACUUUGUAUUUUACAGUGUUCUUCUUGUUUGUUUGUUUUUUGGGCACUGUAAAUAUUGUCAUGUAGUGAUCUGUUUUUGUUAUGCUGGUUUUUACUUUACCUGUUGCAAUAAAACCUUGAAA
Molecule: long non-coding RNA, 466 nt
Organism: Myripristis murdjan (pinecone soldierfish)
Lineage: Eukaryota; Metazoa; Chordata; Actinopteri; Holocentriformes; Holocentridae
Exons: 5
Source: RefSeq, a predicted model, not a curated record